CCCAAGGCUCUUUUAAGAGCCACUCACUUGAAUCCCAGAAAGAGCU
Molecule: non-coding RNA, 46 nt
Organism: Scleropages formosus (Asian bonytongue)
Lineage: Eukaryota; Metazoa; Chordata; Actinopteri; Osteoglossiformes; Osteoglossidae
Source: Rfam